UACGGAAGGCAGCAGUGGGGAAUAUUGCACAAUGGGCGCAAGCCUGAUGCAGCCAUGCCGCGUGUAUGAAAAAGGCCUUCGGGUUGUAAAGUACUUUCAGUCGUGAGGAAGGUGUUAAGGUUAAUAACCUUAGCAAUUGACGUUAGCGACAGAAGAAGCACCGGCUAACUCCGUGCCAGCAGCCGCGGUAAUACGGGGGUGCGAGCGUUAAUCGGAAUUACUGGGCGUAAAGGGCACGCAGGCGGUUAAUUAAGUUGGAUGUGAAAUCCCCGGGCUUAACCUGGGAAUGGCAUUCAAGACUGGUUAGCUAGAGUCUUGUAGAGGGGGUAGAAUUCCAUGUGUAGCGGUGAAAUGCGUAGAGAUGUGGAGGAAUACCGGUGGCGAAGGCGGCCCCUGGACAAGACUGACGCUCAUGUGCGAAAGCGUGGGGAGCAAACAGGGAUUAGAUACC
This 451-nucleotide ribosomal RNA is filed under the name uncultured bacterium. RNAcentral describes it as "bacterial SSU rRNA". It matches the Rfam family "Bacterial small subunit ribosomal RNA", at positions 340 to 786 of the family's 1533-position model. The record is from RNAcentral.